GAGAAAAUUACACAGCAUCAAACACUUUUUAGAAUAGUCAUCAAACUGUUUUUGGUAGCUGGUUCCAGGUAAAUAAAAUAAUUAGGAAUAUUGAGAAAACAGACUGACAUAGCAAGAUCUCUGCUGAUUUCCUGGGGAGGAGUUCCAGAGUCAAUAUUUGAAGGAACAAGAGAGAUCUUUGAGGUCAGCAACGCUAAUGAGCAAAACAAAGUAAAUUUAUGUUCCUGAAGCUGUGGGCCCUCUCAUGACAACCUAUCCUCAAGAGUUC
Long non-coding RNA from Cygnus olor (mute swan), 268 nucleotides. RefSeq lists it as uncharacterized. The record is from RefSeq and is a predicted model, not a curated record. Lineage: Eukaryota; Metazoa; Chordata; Aves; Anseriformes; Anatidae. The transcript has 3 exons.